Molecule: ribosomal RNA, 501 nt
Filed under: uncultured bacterium
Lineage: Bacteria
Description: bacterial SSU rRNA
Rfam family: Bacterial small subunit ribosomal RNA
Source: RNAcentral
CGGCGUGCCUAACGCAUGCAAGUCGAACGGGGAUUUGUUUCGGCAGAAUCCUAGUGGCGAACGGGUGAGUAACGCGUAGGCAACCUGCCCUCCGGCCGGGGGACAACACUCCGAAAGGGGUGCUAAUACCGGAUACGAAGUCUGUGCCGCAUGGUACGGAUUUGAAAGAUGGCCUCUAUUUAUAAGCUAUCGCCGGGGGAUGGGCCUGCGUCCGAUUAGCUGGUUGGUGGGGUAACGGCCUACCAAGGCGACGAUCGGUAGCCGGUCUGAGAGGAUGAACGGCCACAUUGGGACUGAGACACGGCCCAGACUCCUACGGGAGGCAGCAGUGGGGAAUCUUCCGCAAUGGGCGCAAGCCUGACGGAGCAACGCCGCGUGAGUGAGGAAGUUCUUCGGAACGUAAAGCUCUGUUGUUCCUGACGAACCUCCCCUUGAUCAACAACGGAGGGGACUGACGGUAGGGAACGAGGAAGCCACGGCUAACUACGUGCCAGCCGCAGC